GAUGAAGAACGCAGCGAAAUGCGAUAAGUAAUGUGAAUUGCAGAAUUCAGUGAAUCAUCGAAUCUUUGAACGCACAUUGCGCCCCUUGGUAUUCCGAGGGGCAUGCCUGUUCGAGCGUCAUUAUAACCCCUCAAGCUCAGCUUGGUGUUGGGGCCUGCCGCACGGGCAGCCCUUAAAAUCAGUGGCGGUGCCAUCUGGCUCUAAGCGUAGUAAUUCUUCUCGCUAUAGAGUCCCGGUGGAUGCUUGCCAUUAACCCCCAAUUUUCUAUGGUUGACCUCGGAUCAGGUAGGGAUACCCGCUGAACUUAAGCAUAUCAAUAAGCGGAGGA
RNAcentral lists this unclassified non-coding RNA (328 nucleotides) under soil metagenome. RNAcentral's name for it is "partial contains 5.8S ribosomal RNA, internal transcribed spacer 2, and large subunit ribosomal RNA". The stretch from base 1 to 120 matches the Rfam family "5.8S ribosomal RNA", at positions 35 to 154 of the family's 154-position model. The record is from RNAcentral.